Erinaceus europaeus (western European hedgehog) is the source of this 607-nucleotide long non-coding RNA. RefSeq lists it as uncharacterized. The transcript has 2 exons. The record is from RefSeq and is a predicted model, not a curated record. NCBI's taxonomy places the organism in Eukaryota, Metazoa, Chordata, Mammalia, Eulipotyphla, Erinaceidae.
UCUGGCUGACGGUGGUGCUGGGAUUUGAACUUGGGGCCUCAGAGCCUCAGGCAGGAGUCUAGCAUCACUACUCUGCUAUCUGUGAGCUUUGCUUGCAGAAGCAUCUACACAAGUGACACUUGUUGGAGCCUCAGGCUGGAAAGUUUGUUUUUUGCAUAACCUUUGUGCUGUCUCCAGACACAGAAAAUGAGGGGCUGAUACUCUUGAAGAUUUAUUUUAUUUUAAAUGUUUUUUGUAUUAUCUUUAUUUACUUAUUGGAUAGAGACAGAAAUCGAGAGGAAAGGGGAUGACAGAAAGGGAGAAAGAAAGACGCCUGCAGCCCUGUUUCACCACUCGCAAAGUUUUCCCCUGCAGGUGGGGACGAGGGGCUGAAACCCAGGUCCUUGCACCUUGAAACAGGUGGUGCUGGGUACUGGGACCUCGGAGUCUUGGGCAGGAAAGUCUUUUUGCAUCACCAUUAUGCUGUCUCCCUGUCCAUUACAAUAGAUUUUUCAUGCCCAAGGCCUCAGAAGGCCCAAGUUCAAGCCCUUGGCACCAAUGGAAGCCGAAGCUGACCAGAGCUUAUUGACCAGAGCUCUGGCGGAAAGUGGACAAAUAAAUAUAUGUG